UGGUGUAGCUCAGUUGGUAGAGCAACUGAUUCGUAAUCAGUAGGUCGCCGGUUCAAGUCCGGCCAUCA
RNAcentral lists this transfer RNA (68 nucleotides) under uncultured Dysosmobacter sp. It matches the Rfam family "tRNA". Rfam says of the family: Transfer RNA (tRNA) molecules are approximately 80 nucleotides in length. Their secondary structure includes four short double-helical elements and three loops (D, anti-codon, and T loops). The record is from RNAcentral. Lineage: Bacteria; Bacillati; Bacillota; Clostridia; Eubacteriales; Oscillospiraceae.